Molecule: small RNA, 127 nt
Filed under: Marmota monax (woodchuck)
Lineage: Eukaryota; Metazoa; Chordata; Mammalia; Rodentia; Sciuridae
Source: RNAcentral
GCCAGGUGUGGUGGUACACACUUGUAAUCCCAGCAGCUCUGGAGGCUGAGGCAGGAUGAUUGUAAGUUUAAAGUCAGCCUGAGGAACUUAGCAAGGCCCUAAGCUACUUAGUGAGACCCUGUCUCAA